AGACACUGAACCACAGGAACACUGGAAUGCUGGAACAGGACGUGAUGAUCACCAGCGACAAUGUCUACUUCCAAGGAACUGUCAGUAAUUCCAUUAUAAAUAUGCAGGCACCUAUAAUGCAGCCAUGAAAAUUGGGCUGAAAUUAGGCACAAGAUCUCAGCCUCAAGAUGUCAGUGGACCUACGGAUCUAUGGUUUGAAGGUUGGGUUGUAAAGAGUGGAUUCCACUUUCCCUGGAACAUUCAACUGCAAUGUAUUCAUUAUUGUGAAACCCACCAAACUGAACUUCUACCUAUUUGGACUUCAAGGAACCACAGUGUAACCAAAUAGUGCGUAGUAAAUUGUGGGCACUACUGGAGAAGCUACAAGCUAUUAAAUCAAAAACACUGGAG
Long non-coding RNA from Mauremys reevesii (Reeves's turtle), 390 nucleotides. RefSeq lists it as uncharacterized. The transcript is spliced from 4 exons. NCBI's taxonomy places the organism in Eukaryota, Metazoa, Chordata, Testudines, Geoemydidae. The record is from RefSeq and is a predicted model, not a curated record.